GGAGGCAGCAGUCGGGAAUUUUGGGCUAUGGGCGAAAGCCUGACCCAGCAACGCCGCGUGAGGGAUGAAGUAUUUCGGUAUGUAAACCUCGAAAGAAUAGGAAGAAUAAAUGACGGUACUAUUUAUAAGCUCCGGCUAACUACGUGCCAGCAGCCGCGGUAAUACGUAGGGAGCAAGCGUUGUUCGGAUUUACUGGGCGUAAAGGGCGCGUGGGCGGCAUAUUAAGUCAGCUGUGAAAUCUCCGGGCUUAACCCGGAGCGGCCAAGUGAUACUGUCGUGCUAGAGUGCGGAAGGGGCUACUGGAAUUCUCGGUGUAGCGGUGAAAUGCGUAGAUAUCCGAGAGGAACACCUGCGGCGAAGGCGGGUAGCUGGGCCGACACUGACGCUGAGGGCGCGAAAGCCAGGGGAGCCGCCCACCCGGCGAUUUAGAUGCCCCGGUAGUCCUGGCCCUAAACGAUGAAUGCUUGGUGUGGCGGGUAUCGAUCCCUGCUGUGCCGAAGCUAACGCAUUAAGCAUUCCGCCUGGGGAUGUACGGUCCGCCCCAGGCUGAAACUCAAAGGUAAUUG
Molecule: ribosomal RNA, 566 nt
Filed under: uncultured bacterium
Lineage: Bacteria
Description: bacterial SSU rRNA
Rfam family: Bacterial small subunit ribosomal RNA
Source: RNAcentral